CCUACGUGAGGCAGCAGUGGGGAAUAUUGCACAAUGGGGGAAACCCUGAUGCAGCGAUGCCGCGUGAGUGUAGAUGUAUUUUGGUAUGUAAAGCUCUAUCAGCAGGGAACAAUAUGACUGUACCUGACCAAGACGCCCCGGCUAACUACGUGCCCGUCGCCUGGGUCAUUCGUAGCGGCCACGCGUUAUCCGGAUUUACUGGGUGUAAGGGGAGCGUAGACGGCAAGAAAAGUCAUAAGCGAAGGCCCAGGGCUCAAGGGGGGUACUGCUUUUGAAACUGCCGGGCUGGAGUGCAGAUGAGGUGAGAGGAAUUCCUAGUGUAGCGGUGAAAUGCGUAGAUAUUAGGAAGAACACCAGUGGCGAAGGCGGCUUACGGGACUGUAACUGACGUUGAGGCUCGAAAGCGUGGGGAGCAAACAGGAUUAGAUACCCGAGUAGUC
RNAcentral lists this ribosomal RNA (440 nucleotides) under uncultured bacterium. RNAcentral's name for it is "partial 16S ribosomal RNA". It matches the Rfam family "Bacterial small subunit ribosomal RNA", at positions 338 to 795 of the family's 1533-position model. The record is from RNAcentral.